This 30-nucleotide non-coding RNA is filed under the name Rattus norvegicus (Norway rat). The record is from RNAcentral. Lineage: Eukaryota; Metazoa; Chordata; Mammalia; Rodentia; Muridae.
UAAACACAAUUGUUGUCAUUGCCAUGGUCU